RNAcentral lists this ribosomal RNA (207 nucleotides) under uncultured bacterium. RNAcentral's name for it is "partial 16S ribosomal RNA". It matches the Rfam family "Bacterial small subunit ribosomal RNA", at positions 568 to 774 of the family's 1533-position model. The record is from RNAcentral.
CACGUAGGCGGAUAGUUAAGUCGGGGGUGAAAUCCCGGGGCUCAACCCCGGAACUGCCUUCGAUACUGGCUGUCUGGAGGUCGAGAGAGGUGAGUGGAAUUCCGAGUGUAGAGGUGAAAUUCGUAGAUAUUCGGAGGAACACCAGUGGCGAAGGCGGCUCACUGGCUCGAUACUGACGCUGAGGUGCGAAAGCGUGGGGAGCAAACA